Diachasmimorpha longicaudata is the source of this 1333-nucleotide long non-coding RNA. RefSeq lists it as uncharacterized. NCBI's taxonomy places the organism in Eukaryota, Metazoa, Arthropoda, Insecta, Hymenoptera, Braconidae. The transcript is spliced from 3 exons. The record is from RefSeq and is a predicted model, not a curated record.
ACUGCGAUUACGAUCCGGUGGAACGGCUUCUUCAGGCACUUCGGGGGAGGUUAGGGGGACCUCUUCAUAACAGGAUGGAUUUUCGCAAAAGGAACAGUGAGAUGUCUCGUUUCCCGAGGCUCCUGGACCAGCUCCAGAUGAUGUUUGACCCAUUUAAUCACUCCCCACUACUGUAAUUUUCGUUUUAAUUCAUUAACCGCGUUUUUUGGUGUUUUCAACGGCGAAAAAAAUAAGUGAAAACCGGAAAUCAACUCAUAGGACAUGUGGCGCCACCGUCUCAUUUCCGGUUUCAGUCUUGGCGUCCCUCCGAGGCAAUCGCCAGUCGGUGGAAAUUUUAACGUGUAAUCUCUCAUUUAGAAAGUGAAAUAAUGUUGAAUCUGUUAGUGAGUCCCUACAAAUACAAGAGACAAAGUUUUUGAGGGCGAAAAAAAUAAGUGAAGACCGGAAAUCAACUGAUGAACAGGUGACGCCACCGUUCCACUUCCGGUUCGUCUUGGCGUCCUCCCAGACAGUCUCCAUUCGUCGAAAAUUUUACGUGAAAUCUGAUCUGAAAAGUGAAAUCAUGUCGAAUCCGUUGGUGAAUCCCGAGAAAGUGAAGAGACAAAGCUGUUGGAGUAAUCUAGUGCGUCAUUACGAGAAGAGAAAUGCCUCAUUGGAGAGACGACAUGAAGCUCUGGCUGAACGCGUCCGUAUGAUGGAACUGGCGUUGCCUUCGGUCCUAAUGGGCGUCGCGAGUCGCGAGUGGUGUCGGUAAAACAGGUUGUGAGCCCCCAGUGAGUGGUGAAGUUUCGUGUCUGCAGGGAAGACGUUGCAAGAAGGUCGAUGGAAACUCGGAGUCGUCGGGGGAUAAUCAACAACGCAAGUUACAAUGAGCAUGUUUUUUUAUUUGAAUAAAACGUAGUCAUGCAAUCAUUCGUAAAAUCAAUCAAAAUACUUAGACUAACGUUAAACUAGUUCAAAUGUCUCGACAAAAAGUUUAAACUCGAUCCUCGGAUUAUCUGAAGUUUAUAAACUUUGAUAUUAACAAUAAUCGACUAGAGAUUACCUGAACCCUAAACCUAUCUCAUUCAUCAAAAUCGGGGCAAGUUCGAUUAAUAUAUUGAUUGAUCGCUGUAAUAGCGAGACGAUUCGCUUAGUGAUAACUAGAGAUGAUCGAUAUGACUCGAUAUAUCGUGGGAAGUACUAUAAUAUAUUGAUAUAUUCAUAUUUUUCUCUUGAUAUUGAUUUUUUCAAUUAAUAUUUCUGCAGUUGAUAUUUUUCUGUGGAUUUUUUGACGCCCAAAAGGUCGAUUUUUUUGUCGAUAAUUUUCUGGUUGAUGUAUCGAUAUAUCGAG